GAUGAACGCUGGCGGCGUGCCUAAUACAUGCAGGUCGAGCGAACAGAUGAGGAGCUUGCUCCUCUGACGUUAGCGGCGGACGGGUGAGUAACACGUGGAUAACCUACCUAUAAGACUGGGAUAACUACGGGAAACCGGAGCUAAUACCGGAUAAUAUAUUGAACCGCAUGGUUCAAUAGUGAAAGACGGUUUUGCUGUCACUUAUAGAUGGAUCCGCGCCGCAUUAGCUAGUUGGUAAGGUAACGGCUUACCAAGGCAACGAUGCGUAGCCGACCUGAGAGGGUGAUCGGCCACACUGGAACUGAGACACGGUCCAGACUCCUACGGGAGGCAGCAGUAGGGAAUCUUCCGCAAAGGGCGAAAGCCUGACGGAGCAACGCCGCGUGAGUGAUGAAGGUCUUCGGAUCGUAAAACUCUGUUAUUAGGGAAGAACAAAUGUGUAAGUAACUAUGCACGUCUUGACGGUACCUAAUCAGAAAGCCACGGCUAACUACGUG
Molecule: ribosomal RNA, 497 nt
Filed under: uncultured bacterium
Lineage: Bacteria
Description: partial 16S ribosomal RNA
Rfam family: Bacterial small subunit ribosomal RNA
Source: RNAcentral